AUGGUAAAUAUUAAAAGUAAAAAAAAAGAUUUGAAAUCUCCUAAGGAUUUAGAAAAUAAUAAACCAAAUUCUACUGACGAAUCACUGAACAAAUCAAAAGAAAAAGUAAAAACAAAAACAAAAAGUAUAUAUACUGAAAAUAUGAGCAGUAAAACAGAAGGAGACACUAUACGAUGCAAUUCAAACGAGUAUAAUAAUACAAAUUCUUUUUUUGAUAUAAGUAAUAAUGUUUCAAGAGAUUUUAAUGAAACCAUAAUAAGAGAUUCAUGUUAUUUUAUGGAUUUUAAUGGUCAAAUUGGCAAUAAUAACUUAGCAAAACAGGACAAACAAAACACAACACACAUUUUUAACGACGUGAAUCUUGCAACCACGUAUUCUAAUAUUGAUCCAUUAGAAGAUAAUAUAAUAAAUAAAUUAAACGGACAAAUAGAUGGGCAAACAGGCGGAAAAACAGAGGAAAAGACAGAUGGAAAAAUAGAUGAAAAAAUAGAUGGAAAAAUAGAUGGAAAAACAGAGGAAAAGACAGAUGGAAAAAUAGAGGUAAAAACAGAGAGACAGACAGAGGUAAAAACAGACAUACAAACAGACAUACAAACAGAGGUAAAAACAGAGAGACAGACAGAACAAGCAACCGAACAAAGUAGUAACAAUUCGCACGAAAUAAAACAUGUUAUUCCACAGGGAAACAUUUUAUUACAAAAUGAUAAUACCGAAAGCAACAAUACGAAUAAAAUUAGAUGCGAAAAUAUACAAGAAAUUUUUAAAAAUAAAAUGCCUAUUACUAUGUAUGAAACAGAAAAAACAGGAUGUUGGUUAGUUGAUAAUAUUAACUAUGUAUUAAAUAACUUAUGUGACACAAAUUUCAACGAUUUUGAUUCAGAGUAUACAUUUAUGGACAAUCCCAACCAGGUUAAUAAUAAAAACAAAAUUAUGAAUACAGGUGUAAAAAAUAAAUGGCGUGUUUGUCUCAACCUUAAUAACGUCGUUAAUUGUAGUCAUAUAUUAUCAAUAUAUGAAUCUAUACACAACAUGUUUUUAAAUUAUCAUAAAAAAAAAAUGGAAAAAAUUGAACAAAAAAAAAGAAAAAGAAAAAAAGAAUUAAAAUAUUAUUCAUUUUUACGUAGAUUUCCAAGAUAUUCAAAUUUAAAUAAAUAUAAUGAAUACAGAAAAAAAAAAUUAGAUGAUACUGGUUGUGACAAAUCAUCAUUAUCAUCAUCUUGUACAUAUGAUGUUUAUUAUGAUAAUGAUCAUAAUCUUUAUUUCGAUAAUUAUUAUCCUUAUAAUUAUCAAUAUACAUUAAACUAUGAAUAUGUUUUUUGUGAUUUUUUAUUUUGUUUUUUUAAUAAUAUAAGACAUAAAUAUAAAACUUCUCUUGAUAAUCUAGCAGAUAAAUUAAUAUAUUUCCGUAAAGAAAGUAAUACUUUUAAAGAAUACUGUUAUGCAAUUUCUAAACACAUUGGUAUGAAAUUAGUAAAUAUGUUAUCGUUUAAUAAUUUGUGGAUAUUCUUUGAAAGUUUACUCAGAUGUUUCUCAAAAUGUAUAUAUAAACAAAAUGACGAUAAUACAUUAAUUAAACUUAAUUUAACUUUACCACAUGACAUACAAAAUAAUGAAAAUAAUAAUCAAAUAAAUAUGGAUUCAAUAUAUACACCAACAUUCGACGCAACAAAACAAAAUGAUACAUUUAUGCCUUAUUCUACUAUUAAAUCUAAUUAUUUUCAUACUAACACAAGUACUGAUACAAAUUCUAAUACUAAUACGAAUGAGAAAAAAUAUAUAUAUCAUAAUGCAACUACUAUUAUUGCUAACCCACAUGUUACUACACCAACCACUAUGAAUAAUAAAAAAGCUUCAGCAUUUUCACCUGUACGUGUAAGUUAUUAUCAAUAUAUUAGUGAUUCUUUUAUUAAAACCUUUUGGUUUCGAAAAAGUGCAACUUUAAGUAAUAAAAAAUUUAAAAAAAAUGGGAGUUAA
This is a long non-coding RNA of Piliocolobus tephrosceles (Ugandan red Colobus), 1974 nucleotides long. NCBI's taxonomy places the organism in Eukaryota, Metazoa, Chordata, Mammalia, Primates, Cercopithecidae. The record is from Ensembl.